This 103-nucleotide ribosomal RNA is filed under the name Streptomyces populi. RNAcentral describes it as "partial 23S ribosomal RNA". It matches the Rfam family "Bacterial large subunit ribosomal RNA", at positions 2827 to 2925 of the family's 2925-position model. Lineage: Bacteria; Bacillati; Actinomycetota; Actinomycetes; Kitasatosporales; Streptomycetaceae. The record is from RNAcentral.
GUUAAGGCUCCCAGUAGACGACUGGGUUGAUAGGCCAGAUCUGGAAGCCCGGUAACGGGUGGAGGUGACUGGUACUAAUAGGCCGAGGGCUUGUCCUCAGUUG